UCAUGGCUCAGGACGAACGCUGGCGGCGUGCCUAAUACAUGCAAGUCGUACGCUUCUUUUUCCACCGGAGCUUGCUCCACCGGAAAAAGAAGAGUGGCGAACGGGUGAGUAACACGUGGGUAACCUGCCCAUCAGAAGGGGAUAACACUUGGAAACAGGUGCUAAUACCGUAUAACAAUCGAAACCGCAUGGUUUUGAUUUGAAAGGCGCUUUCGGGUGUCGCUGAUGGAUGGACCCGCGGUGCAUUAGCUAGUUGGUGAGGUAACGGCUCACCAAGGCCACGAUGCAUAGCCGACCUGAGAGGGUGAUCGGCCACAUUGGGACUGAGACACGGCCCAAACUCCUACGGGAGGCAGCAGUAGGGAAUCUUCGGCAAUGGACGAAAGUCUGACCGAGCAACGCCGCGUGAGUGAAGAAGGUUUUCGGAUCGUAAAACUCUGUUGUUAGAGAAGAACAAGGAUGAGAGUAACUGUUCAUCCCUUGACGGUAUCUAACCAGAAAGCCACGGCUAACUACGUGCCAGCAGCCGCGGUAAUACGUAGGUGGCAAGCGUUGUCCGGAUUUAUUGGGCGUAAAGCGAGCGCAGGCGGUUUCUUAAGUCUGAUGUGAAAGCCCCCGGCUCAACCGGGGAGGGUCAUUGGAAACUGGGAGACUUGAGUGCAGAAGAGGAGAGUGGAAUUCCAUGUGUAGCGGUGAAAUGCGUAGAUAUAUGGAGGAACACCAGUGGCGAAGGCGGCUCUCUGGUCUGUAACUGACGCUGAGGCUCGAAAGCGUGGGGAGCAAACAGGAUUAGAUACCCUGGUAGUCCACGCCGUAAACGAUGAGUGCUAAGUGUUGGAGGGUUUCCGCCCUUCAGUGCUGCAGCUAACGCAUUAAGCACUCCGCCUGGGGAGUACGACCGCAAGGUUGAAACUCAAAGGAAUUGACGGGGGCCCGCACAAGCGGUGGAGCAUGUGGUUUAAUUCGAAGCAACGCGAAGAACCUUACCAGGUCUUGACAUCCUUUGACCACUCUAGAGAUAGAGCUUCCCCUUCGGGGGCAAAGUGACAGGUGGUGCAUGGUUGUCGUCAGCUCGUGUCGUGAGAUGUUGGGUUAAGUCCCGCAACGAGCGCAACCCUUAUUGUUAGUUGCCAUCAUU
RNAcentral lists this ribosomal RNA (1138 nucleotides) under Enterococcus faecalis. Its description in RNAcentral is "bacterial SSU rRNA". It matches the Rfam family "Bacterial small subunit ribosomal RNA", at positions 17 to 1125 of the family's 1533-position model. The record is from RNAcentral. Lineage: Bacteria; Bacillati; Bacillota; Bacilli; Lactobacillales; Enterococcaceae.